Molecule: long non-coding RNA, 370 nt
Filed under: Micromonas commoda
Lineage: Eukaryota; Viridiplantae; Chlorophyta; Mamiellophyceae; Mamiellales; Mamiellaceae
Description: long non-coding RNA (MCOM_LNC000174)
Source: RNAcentral
CCGUGUACGUCUUGGCCAUCAGGAAGAGCUCGUCCGUGGCGUCGCCGCCGCGAGUCAGCCCGCCGAUGGACUUGAGCUGAUACGUGGCAUGCUUCUCGAGGUCACCGGAGAGGUCAGUGUAGGCGGUGGCGCCCGACUCAAGCUUCCAGAGCUUCGCGGGGCUGACCUCCUGCACGGCAUAGUAGGUGGUGCCAAUCUUGGUGACGCCCUCGAAUCCGAGGUUGGACGCCGCCUUCGGGGUGAUACCUUGGACGAGAGUCGUGGCGCCGGAGUAGGUGCCGUCGGUGUUGAGGGUAACCUCGGUGAUCUUGACUGGGUUCUCGUCGGUGAUGGCGAACUUUCGGCCGCCCAGCGCAGAGAUACCCUCGAG